UUUGUAGGCUGUUUUUUUUUUUUUGUUUUUGUUUUGUUCAUUUUUGCAUUGCAGUCAACACUUACAGUUUUUUUCUCUAUAUAUUUCAAAAAAUGUGAUAGGAUCUGCUGUGUACGGCACUGUGUAUACUUGCUGUACAUACUGUCUAUGUGUACUGCACUGUGUAUACUUCUGUUUAGUAUGUAUAUGUGUGGGGGGGUGUACUUAAGCUAGAAGGAAUUCCUGGAGCUGUGAGCAGUUAUGUUGUUUUGGGGUAGGGGCUAGCUACAGCUGUUAGGUUUCUGGGCGGCUACAGCUGUGCACUGACCACAAUGUCUCCUUGCAUUACGGAUUUUCUCAUGCGGAAAUCAACAGUAGAAAAUGUGUGCAAAGGAGUUGGGGAGGAAAUCUUGAGCAACAAAAAGUCACAAAUGUCCCUCACCAACACUUAUUGCCUCCAAAGCACACAUGCAGAUGUUGAAGUUAGUCUUGACUGGGCUUGGGAUCAGCCCUAGCUUGAAAAGCUUAGCACUGCAUGCUUUCAGAUUUCUGGUGCUAGCCAUUGUUGAACUGUGUGGCAAAGUGUUGUGGUGCAUGCCAAGACUUCUGUGUACAGUGCGGUCAGUGUCUCAUAAGUACUAGCAUUGCAUAUGGGCAUGAACUCUGGUGACCCCCUCCUUUUUUUUUUAUUGCCAGGCAGUCCUACUUACUGCUCCCCCCCCCCCC
Biomphalaria pfeifferi is the source of this 705-nucleotide non-coding RNA. The record is from the annotation of a GenBank genome assembly. NCBI's taxonomy places the organism in Eukaryota, Metazoa, Mollusca, Gastropoda, Planorbidae.